Molecule: non-coding RNA, 112 nt
Organism: Acanthosepion pharaonis
Lineage: Eukaryota; Metazoa; Mollusca; Cephalopoda; Sepiida; Sepiidae
Source: the annotation of a GenBank genome assembly
UACGGACAUAUCAAGCUAAAACACUGGUUCCCAUACGACCAUCGAAGUUAAAUAACGUCGAGCCUGGUCAGUACCUAGAUGAGUGACAGCAUGGGCAGCAUAGGUGUUGAAA